Lagenorhynchus albirostris (white-beaked dolphin) is the source of this 1718-nucleotide long non-coding RNA. RefSeq lists it as uncharacterized. The record is from RefSeq and is a predicted model, not a curated record. The transcript has 4 exons. Lineage: Eukaryota; Metazoa; Chordata; Mammalia; Artiodactyla; Delphinidae.
UGGACCUUUCUCUGGAAUGUUGUGUUUUUUGUAAAGUCACGUGUGUGUUUUCUGGGGCUUGGGUGAUCGUGUAAGGGGAAGUGCGGUGACAGUAGCAUCCUGCUGUGGGGCAGUCCCCCACAUGCCUAGGGGAGGGCCCUAGAAACCUGCUUGGGUGAAGGGCUCCCCGGGGCAUCUCCCUUCCGAGCUCUGGGGUGUCAGUGCAAGUACCGUUGUGAUGGAGACCGGUCCCGCCUCUCAACCUGUCUAGCACUGUGACCCCAUCUCAGACUCCACGUCUUCAUCUGAAGAGCAAAGCUGGGAUAGCAGCAAAAGUUCUAAAAAAUUUUUCAUGGUGUUGCCAUGACCACAUGAUCCUGAUCUUUUCAGCCCGAAAGCAUUUGCAGUUUUUUAUGCUGGAAGUGUCUUGACUCCCCCUGGCAGAGAGGUUUUGUGGGGUCUUGGCAGGACACGACAGAAACUGCUGGGACUCGGCUAGGCUGGGCUGCUCUCCCUGACCCAGGCCCCUGGCUCCAGCCUCCUGUCCUUCCUGGCUCUUUCUGCCCUUUUCUGUUCCUGCAUCGCAAGUGAUCGUGGGCUGCCCAUGCCCUGGUCACCAAUAGUGCAGGGACAGGAGUCGCUGGAAGCCUUUCCCCGUGUUUGGAGGGCCCAGUUGUCCCCUCCAAACCCUGGAGCUUUCACACACUAGCUUUUUGGUCCUGCCAUUUCCUUCAGCGCACGGGCCUUUGCCGGCCCACAUGUGAUAUGGUGACCGGGCUGGGCCCCGGACUUGUGGAGGUUCACUUUGUCUUUGAAGUAAAGGAGCCUCCGGACAGAAACCAGUCCAUACAUUUGUAUUUGGACCUCACACUGGAAUAAGUUCAGAUAAUGCUGAAGGGCACAUGGGAGAACUGUAAAUCGUGGGUUCUGCUCUAUGAACUUAACAGGAAUGGAGGACAACCCAUAAUACAUUAUUCAAGGCAGCCCAUGACCGACAUGCUUGUUUGUGUGUUGACUUUGCUCCUUUACUCUUUUGGGUUUUUUCCCUUUACUGUUUAUUUUUUUUCUUUUUUUUGCGGUACGCGGGCCUCUCACUGUUGUGGCCUCUCCCGUUGCAGAGCACAGGCUCCGGAUGCGCAGGCCCAGCGGCCAUGGCUCACGGGCUCAGCCGCUCCGCGGCAUGUGGGAUCUUCCUGGACCGGGGCACGAACCUGUGUCCCCUGCAUCGGCAGGCGGACUCUCAACCACUGCGCCACCAGGGGAGCCCCCCUUUACUGUUUCUUGAGCACAAUGUGUAUUGCUUCUCCAGGAGCAGCCAGUGGUGUCGAAAGAAAAAUAAAGGAUGUGGUGCGGCAGGAGGACUCUCCCGCCGUGUAGUCAGCCGUCAGCAGGGGGCUGCCCUUCUCCCUUUCUGCGCUGCAGAUGUGUUGGGUGGAGGCCGCAACUCUGCCCUGGCGCCUUCACUUAGUAGACUCUGCAGGGGCAACGUGGUGCUCCCAAGAGGCAUGUCUGGCUCCCAGACAAACAGGUCAGCGUUCGAUCUGGAGAUCGUUGAGGAAGUCCCAAGGCCAUGAGUCAGUGACUUUGGGGUGACUUGGGAUCUGGCAUUGCUGGUAUUUCUCCCCAAGAUUCCUUUUGUUCGUGGACACCAGCGGGGCAGAGAGUGGAGAGUGCAGUCCACACAUGAAGAGCUCCCCGCCGCCUGCUCAGAGUGUCAUGGGAGAACUGUUUACUCAGCA